AUUGAACGCUGGCGGCAGGCCUAACACAUGCAAGUCGAACGGUAACAGGAAGCAGCUUGCUGCUUCGCUGACGAGUGGCGGACGGGUGAGUAAUGUCUGGGAAGCUGCCUGAUGGGGGGGGAUAACUACUGGAAACGGUAGCUAAUACCGCAUAAUGUCGCAAGACCAAAGAGGGGGACCUUCGGGCCUCUUGCCAUCGGAUGUGCCCAGAUGGGAUUAGCUUGUUGGUGGGGUAACGGCUCACCAAGGCGACGAUCCCUAGCUGGUCUGAGAGGAUGACCAGCCACACUGGAACUGAGACACGGUCCAGACUCCUACGGGGGGCAGCAGUGGGGAAUAUUGCACAAUGGGCGCAAGCCUGAUGCAGCCAUGCCGCGUGUAUGAAGAAGGCCUUCGGGUUGUAAAGUACUUUCAGCGGGGAGGAAGGGAGUAAAGUUAAUACCUUUGCUCAUUGACGUUACCCGCAGAAGAAGCACCGGCUAACUCCGUGCCAGCAGCCGCGGUAAUACGGAGGGUGCAAGCGUUAAUCGGAAUUACUGGGCGUAAAGCGCACGCAGGGGGUUUGUUAAGUCAGAUGUGAAAUCCCCGGGCUCAACCUGUGAACUGAUUCUGAUUCUGGUAAUCUUGACUUUUGUAGAGGGGGGGGAGAAUUUCUGUGUACAGUCUAAAUGC
This 672-nucleotide ribosomal RNA is filed under the name uncultured Enterobacteriaceae bacterium. RNAcentral's name for it is "bacterial SSU rRNA". It matches the Rfam family "Bacterial small subunit ribosomal RNA", at positions 28 to 689 of the family's 1533-position model. The record is from RNAcentral. Lineage: Bacteria; Pseudomonadati; Pseudomonadota; Gammaproteobacteria; Enterobacterales; Enterobacteriaceae.